This 484-nucleotide ribosomal RNA is filed under the name uncultured bacterium. RNAcentral describes it as "partial 16S ribosomal RNA". It matches the Rfam family "Bacterial small subunit ribosomal RNA", at positions 30 to 507 of the family's 1533-position model. The record is from RNAcentral.
AUUGAACGCUGGCGGCAGGCCUAACACAUGCAAGUCGAGCGGAUGAAGGGAGCUUGCUCCUGGAUUCAGCGGCGGACGGGCGAGUAAUGCCUAGGAAUCUGCCUGGUCGUGGGGGAUAACGUCCGGACACGGGCGCUAAUACCGCAUACGUCCUGAGGGAGAAAGUGGGGGAUCUUCGGACCUCACGCUAUCAGCUGAGCCUAGGUCGGAUUAGCUAGUUGGUGGGGUAAAGGCCUACCAAGGCGACGAUCCGUAACUGGUCUGAGAGGAUGAUCAGUCACACUGGAACUGAGACACGGUCCAGACUCCUACGGGAGGCAGCAGUGGGGAAUAUUGGACAAUGGGCGAAAGCCUGAUCCAGCCAUGCCGCGUGUGUGAAGAAGGUCUUCGGAUUGUAAAGCACUUUAAGUUGGGAGGAAGGGCAGUAAGUUAAUACCUUGCUGUUUUGACGUUACCAACAGAAUAAGCACCGGCUAACUUCGUG